CGGCCGCCCCGCGGACCCCUCGCAGAAGUUUUGAUCGCCUUCGAAACAAAUCCCUCUGCUCCACCCCCUUGAAAAAUUGAUUUGGGAGUUGGGGAGCGAAGGCUUUCUUUUUUCUCCCCUGCGUUCUUUAUUAUUAAUAUUUUGUAAAGCUCCAGCGCUACGAGGAGUGGCCCCGAGCGAGGUCAGACUGCGCGGACGGCGGGGAGUGCGGCGGCUCCGCCAGGGGACGGCGCCGGCUGGGAGUGAACCCCCUCGGCUGCUCGGGAACCCCCGACUGUCGGCCGAGGGUUGUGGAGAGGCUGAAACGUAAGUGCUCACCACAACACCCAGCACCUACCAGGCUUCUAUACAUAUUUGCCUGUCUGGAACCGGGAGCUUCCCCAGCUGAGGACCAGAGUGAGAGCAGAGAAGGCCCAGGAUCAUAUUUGAAACCAUAAAAGCCACAUUAAGACACUAAGAAUAACUCGCAGAAAGACAUUUUCUAUGAAUUGGACACAGAGUCACAAAACCCAGAAAGUUCCUUGGUCUCUAUCUCACAGGCCUGUGGCUGGGG
Nomascus leucogenys (northern white-cheeked gibbon) is the source of this 553-nucleotide long non-coding RNA. RefSeq lists it as uncharacterized. Lineage: Eukaryota; Metazoa; Chordata; Mammalia; Primates; Hylobatidae. The record is from RefSeq and is a predicted model, not a curated record. The transcript has 3 exons.